This 800-nucleotide ribosomal RNA is filed under the name Staphylococcus sp. Mg46. RNAcentral describes it as "bacterial SSU rRNA". It matches the Rfam family "Bacterial small subunit ribosomal RNA", at positions 55 to 838 of the family's 1533-position model. The record is from RNAcentral. Lineage: Bacteria; Bacillati; Bacillota; Bacilli; Caryophanales; Staphylococcaceae.
AUGCAGUCGAGCGAACAGACGAGGAGCUUGCUCCUCUGACGUUAGCGGCGGACGGGUGAGUAACACGUGGAUAACCUACCUAUAAGACUGGGAUAACUUCGGGAAACCGGAGCUAAUACCGGAUAAUAUAUUGAACCGCAUGGUUCAAUAGUGAAAGACGGUUUUGCUGUCACUUAUAGAUGGAUCCGCGCCGCAUUAGCUAGUUGGUAAGGUAACGGCUUACCAAGGCAACGAUGCGUAGCCGACCUGAGAGGGUGAUCGGCCACACUGGAACUGAGACACGGUCCAGACUCCUACGGGAGGCAGCAGUAGGGAAUCUUCCGCAAUGGGCGAAAGCCUGACGGAGCAACGCCGCGUGAGUGAUGAAGGUCUUCGGAUCGUAAAACUCUGUUAUUAGGGAAGAACAAAUGUGUAAGUAACUAUGCAUGUCUUGACGGUACCUAAUCAGAAAGCCACGGCUAACUACGUGCCAGCAGCCGCGGUAAUACGUAGGUGGCAAGCGUUAUCCGGAAUUAUUGGGCGUAAAGCGCGCGUAGGCGGUUUUUUAAGUCUGAUGUGAAAGCCCACGGCUCAACCGUGGAGGGUCAUUGGAAACUGGAAAACUUGAGUGCAGAAGAGGAAAGUGGAAUUCCAUGUGUAGCGGUGAAAUGCGCAGAGAUAUGGAGGAACACCAGUGGCGAAGGCGACUUUCUGGUCUGUAACUGACGCUGAUGUGCGAAAGCGUGGGGAUCAAACAGGAUUAGAUACCCUGGUAGUCCACGCCGUAAACGAUGAGUGCUAAGUGUUAGGGGGUUUCCGCU